Molecule: transfer RNA, 72 nt
Filed under: Ovis aries (sheep)
Lineage: Eukaryota; Metazoa; Chordata; Mammalia; Artiodactyla; Bovidae
Rfam family: tRNA
About the family: Transfer RNA (tRNA) molecules are approximately 80 nucleotides in length. Their secondary structure includes four short double-helical elements and three loops (D, anti-codon, and T loops). Further hydrogen bonds mediate the characteristic L-shaped molecular structure. tRNAs have two regions of fundamental functional importance: the anti-codon, which is responsible for specific mRNA codon recognition, and the 3' end, to which the tRNAs corresponding amino acid is attached (by aminoacyl-tRNA synthetases). tRNAs cope with the degeneracy of the genetic code in two manners: having more than one tRNA (with a specific anti-codon) for a particular amino acid; and 'wobble' base-pairing, i.e. permitting non-standard base-pairing at the 3rd anti-codon position.
Source: Rfam by way of RNAcentral
UCCCUGGUGACUCAGACAGUAAAGAAUCUGCCUGCAAUGCAGGAAACCCAGGUUUGAUUCCUGGGUUGGGAA